CCUACUUCUCUUUUAGACUGAUUCAAUCUCCUGUAGCCUAGGGUGGCCCUGAACUCCUGAUCUUCCUACUUCCUUCUCCCAAGUGCUGGGAUUAAAGCUGUGUGCCACCACAACCUGGCCUUUAUGGUUAACCAGUGGCUAGCUCCACUCUCUGAUCUCCAGGCAAGCUUUAUUUGUCAGAACACAAACAAAAUAUCAUACAAAUUUCCACUUUUUUUGUUUAAAU
Peromyscus maniculatus bairdii (prairie deer mouse) is the source of this 226-nucleotide non-coding RNA. NCBI's taxonomy places the organism in Eukaryota, Metazoa, Chordata, Mammalia, Rodentia, Cricetidae. The record is from RefSeq and is a predicted model, not a curated record.